CAGCCGGGUAAUUCCAGCUCCAAUAGCGUAUAUUAAAGUUGUUGCAGUUAAAAAGCUCGUAGUUGAAUUUCGGGAUCAAUGUUUCGGUCAUGCCGUUGGUAUGUACUGAUAUUAUUGAUUUCUCACCUUCUAAAGAACCGUAAUGCCAUUAAUUUGGUGUCACGGGGAAUUAGGACUGUUACCUUGAAAAAAUUAGAGUGUUUAAAGCAGGCUUACGCUUGAAUACAUUAGCAUGGAAUAAUGAAAUAGGACAUCCGAUUCUAUUUUGUUGGUUUCUAGGAUCGAUGUAAUGAUUAAUAGGGAUAGUUGGGGGCAUUAGUAUUCAAUUGUCAGAGGUGAAAUUCUUGGAUUUAUUGAAGACUAACUACUGCGAAAGCAUUUGCCAAGGAUGUUUUCAUUAAUCAAGAACGAAAGUUAGGGGAGCGAAGACGAUCAGAUACCGUCGUAGUCUUAACCAUAAACUAUGCCGACUAGGGAUCGGAUGAUGUUAAUUUUUUAAUGACUCAUUCGGCGCCUUACG
RNAcentral lists this ribosomal RNA (520 nucleotides) under uncultured Glomus. RNAcentral's name for it is "SSU rRNA". It matches the Rfam family "Eukaryotic small subunit ribosomal RNA", at positions 571 to 1092 of the family's 1831-position model. The record is from RNAcentral. Lineage: Eukaryota; Fungi; Glomeromycota; Glomeromycetes; Glomerales; Glomeraceae.